Molecule: ribosomal RNA, 458 nt
Filed under: uncultured bacterium
Lineage: Bacteria
Description: partial 16S ribosomal RNA
Rfam family: Bacterial small subunit ribosomal RNA
Source: RNAcentral
CCUACGGGUGGCAGCAGUGGGGAAUAUUGCACAAUGGGGGAAACCCUGAUGCAGCGACGCCGCGUGAGUGAAGAAGUAAUUCGUUACGUAAAGCUCUAUCAGCAGGGAAGAAACACUGACCUUACGGUCAGCAGACGGUACCUGAGUAAGAAGCCCCGGCUAACUACGUGCCAGCAGCCGCGGUAAUACGUAGGGGGCAUGCGUUAUCCGGAUUUACUGGGUGUAAAGGGAGCGUAGACGGUGCGCCAAGUCUGGAGUGAAAUGCCGCAGCUGAACUGCGGAACUGCUUUGGAAACUGGCGAACUAGAGUGCGGGAGGGGUAAGCGGAAUGCCUAGUGGAGCGGUGAAAUGCGUAGAUAUUAGGAGGAACACCGGUGGCGAAGGCGGCUUACUGGACCGUAACUGACGUUGAGGCUCGAAAGCGUGGGGAGCAAACAGGAGUAGAUACCCUAGUAGUC